This 484-nucleotide ribosomal RNA is filed under the name uncultured bacterium. Its description in RNAcentral is "bacterial SSU rRNA". It matches the Rfam family "Bacterial small subunit ribosomal RNA", at positions 30 to 507 of the family's 1533-position model. The record is from RNAcentral.
AUUGAACGCUGGCGGCAGGCCUAACACAUGCAAGUCGAGCGGAAGAAGGGGGCUUGCUCCUGGAUUCAGCGGCGGACGGGUGAGUAAUGCGCAGGAAUCUACCUAGUAGUGGGGGAUAACGUUCCGAAAGGGGCGCUAAUACCGCAUACGUUCUGAGGAAGAAAGCAGGGGAUCGCAAGACCUUGCGCUAUUAGAUGAGCUUGCGUCCGAUUAGCUAGUUGGUGGGGUAAAGGCCUACCAAGGCGACGAUCGGUAACCGGUCUGAGAGGAUGAUCAGUCACACUGGAACUGAGACACGGUCCAGACUCCUACGGGAGGCAGCAGUGGGGAAUAUUGGACAAUGGGGGCAACCCUGAUCCAGCCAUGCCGCGUGUGUGAAGAAGGCCUUCGGGUUGUAAAGCACUUUAAGCGGGGAGGAAGGCUCUAUGGCUAAUAUCCAUGGGGAUUGACGUUACCCGCAGAAUAAGCACCGGCAAACUUCGUG